This 273-nucleotide ribosomal RNA is filed under the name uncultured bacterium. RNAcentral describes it as "partial 16S ribosomal RNA". It matches the Rfam family "Bacterial small subunit ribosomal RNA", at positions 524 to 796 of the family's 1533-position model. The record is from RNAcentral.
UACGAAGGGGGCUAGCGUUGUUCGGAAUCACUGGGCGUAAAGCGCACGUAGGCGGAUUUGUAAGUUAGGGGUGAAAUCCCGGGGCUCAACCUCGGAACUGCCUUUGAUACUGCAAGUCUAGAGUCCGAGAGAGGUGAGUGGAAUUCCUAGUGUAGAGGUGAAAUUCGUAGAUAUUAGGAAGAACACCAGUGGCGAAGGCGGCUCACUGGCUCGGUACUGACGCUGAGGUGCGAAAGCGUGGGGAGCAAACAGGAUUAGAUACCCCCGUAGUCC